Triticum dicoccoides is the source of this 2425-nucleotide long non-coding RNA. RefSeq lists it as uncharacterized. The transcript has 7 exons. Lineage: Eukaryota; Viridiplantae; Streptophyta; Magnoliopsida; Poales; Poaceae. The record is from RefSeq and is a predicted model, not a curated record.
CGUCCUGCAUCAACGGCGCGACGAGGAAUCAUAGGACAGAUGGGAGAGAUGAGGAGAUGGGAGGAGGAAGGAAGGAACGGGGAGGGACUCACCGACGCGGUGGCGCUCGCCGGAGGCUGGCUGGCGGCGGGGUCAGACGAAAACGGCGGCACGCGUGUGGCACCCUCCCCGGCGGCACGAGCAGGAAGGAGGAGGUGCACAGGAGGCGUAGGUGCUACGGUGAGAUGGGCUUCAGAUGUGCAGCCGGCCCUAGCGCUGCAACUUCUGCAUCAGAGAAGGUGGAAGAUAAUCUGUUCAAUCUUUUCAAAGGUACAUUGGUGAAAUGCAGCAACCAGAUAAAAGAAAUGCAUUACUCCAUCACCACACUGAUGCUCCAUCUCCCUCUGAUGGCAAGUGCGACCCUGAUGAAGCUGCUCCCCUACAUCAAGGACUACCCCAACAGUGCGGCCUUGAUGGCACAACUCCCAUACACCAAGGACUAGCCCCAUGGUGCGGCCACGACAUCACUGCUCCCCUACACCGCCGACUACAACCUGAGAUCUUAGAACAGGUUUGCAGGUUCAUUGGAACAAAUGUUCAAAAGGAAGAUGCACAGUAAGAAUUACAGUAAGAAGUUCAACUACGAGCCCAGACAUGAGGUAUUUUAACCGCCAACAGAGGGUGUGUUGCGCUAAAAAUUAGUAAUCUUCGCUCCAAAUUCUUAGGUCACUGGCCCAGGUUAGUGCCCAUUGUCAUUGUGCAUCUCUGUUAACUAUUUUAGAACUAGCACAAAUCUGAGUAGGGCUGGAACAAAAUGAACACCCAGGGUUCGAGUACCUCUACUAUGAUAUAAUUAUCUUCCAAACAGGUGUCAUUUCCUUAUCAAGAUGGUUCUCGUGAUUUAGGAAAACUAACAACACCUCAAUGGUCUUCGCACUAGAUUAGCUGUAGGAUCCAUUUUCUGGAGCAUUUUGAUUUUGGUGGACUAUUUAGAUACUUCCAUACAUACACUUCACUGAAGGUUAUUUUGACGGAACGUUAGCUUGGAAGCUUUUCCAUACUUUUUGUAACUAUCCUUCAGCAAAACUAGAUGCAGUUUGUGUUGUGAUGAAAUUAAGAUUGCUCACAAUAUUUUGCAGGAUAAAAUUAAUUACAAUGUAAGUUCUUUGGUGUGUGAUCCAUUACAAUACAGGAAGUUUGUGGUUUAUGCCAUAAAAUUUCAGUUAAUAUUUGGUACAUGAAGUGAUCUAAGUCUGCCACACUGUUUGCAUUUGUAGCUUGCUUUGUUUAAUAAAUAGAUUGAUCUUAUUUUCUAUAAACUUUUUUAUUUAACCUACUAACUUCAAAUACAUUAUAUUUGAUCCUUCAAGGGGCAAAAUAGUUCAGCUCUUUGUUUUACAAGUUUCAGGAUUGAAGGGGGAGAUGCUACAACAGUACAACUACAAGUUCCCUUGCUUCUUUGUAAGGGAACCAAUCAACUAACUUAAUGAGAUUGAUGCACGAGAGCUUCUAGAUGUUCUUCUCGAUCUUGAAUAUUCAUUUUAUCCAACUAUGCAACAUUUGCUUGUGUAUAAGUUUGAUAAGGCCAGGGGCAAGAACAAAGUGGUUGAUUCAUUGAAUGAAGUAUGCGUUAUGUACAGUCCUCCAGAAUUCAGAAAUUGAUCUAUAAUUCUGUGAAGAGAAGGUUUUCAAACCCAAAGGAGCAUUGGCAACCUUAGGGACUUGGGCGCCAACGUGUAGUCCCAGCAGAAGUUGCUCACCCGGAAGGUGGUCUUCUCCAAGGCCUCCCUAGCCUUUGAACAAGACCGCUCCAUCAAGGGUAAACCAUUGAGUGGCAAUGAUACAUGUGUGUCCAUACGACAUAGUGAUUAGCAGCAUGAGGUGCUGAGCACAUCGCGUGUGUGUCUGUAUGUGUGCGAUGCGGUUCAUGAGGAACAAACUGAUUAAGCAUGCUCCAAAGCUACGAGCGACUGAACUAGGUUGAAACCAAGAGGGCAUUGUAAACUUUGAUGACACUUUGUGGGAAACCAAUUACUUCAUGGCCAGAGGUGAUUUUGGAAUGGAGAUUUCAGUUGAGAAGAUAUCCCUUGCACAGAAAAUGAUGAUCUACAAGUGCAACCUUGCUGGUGAGCCUGUUGUCACAGCGAUUGUAGGCAACAUCCAUUCCAAUUGUCCAUUGGUUUAACUGCAGUUUUUUAUGUACAAUUUAUAGGCCGGACUGAUUUUUUUUACUUGCCCUGAUGAAGCUGUAGACUAUACACAUAAGUUGCUGAUUUUGCAUGCUAUACUUGUGUAAAUGUUGUUCCACCUUCCCACUUUGUAAUUUCAUGGCCAUUUCAGAUGAUCUAGACAUUUAAUGUAUGGAAUUUACAUUGGCACUAAAUAAGGAAUAUUGAAAGAUAGUAUGCCACAAUAUCUGUUAUGAGCUUUUCAGAAAGUUGUAAAG